GAUGAACGCUGGCGGCGUGCCUAAUACAUGCAAGUCGAGCGAACAGACGAGGAGCUUGCUCCUCUGACGUUAGCGGCGGACGGGUGAGUAACACGUGGAUAACCUACCUAUAAGACUGGGAUAACUUCGGGAAACCGGAGCUAAUACCGGAUAAUAUAUUGAACCGCAUGGUUCAAUAGUGAAAGACGGUUUUGCUGUCACUUAUCGAUGGAUCCGCGCCGCAUUAGCUAGUUGGUAAGGUAACGGCUUACCAAGGCAACGAUGCGUAGCCGACCUGAGAGGGUGAUCGGCCACACUGGAACUGAGACACGGUACAGACUCCUACGGGAGGCAGCAGUAGGGAAUCUUCCGCAAUGGGCGAAAGCCUGACGGAGCAACGCCGCGUGAGUGAUGAAGGUCUUCGGAUCGUAAAACUCUGUUAUUAGGGAAGAACAAAUGUGUAAGUAACUAUGCACGUCUUGACGGUACCUAAUCAGAAAGCCACGGCUAACUACGUG
This 497-nucleotide ribosomal RNA is filed under the name uncultured bacterium. RNAcentral's name for it is "partial 16S ribosomal RNA". It matches the Rfam family "Bacterial small subunit ribosomal RNA", at positions 28 to 507 of the family's 1533-position model. The record is from RNAcentral.